This 431-nucleotide ribosomal RNA is filed under the name uncultured soil bacterium. Its description in RNAcentral is "bacterial SSU rRNA". It matches the Rfam family "Bacterial small subunit ribosomal RNA", at positions 26 to 457 of the family's 1533-position model. The record is from RNAcentral.
AGAUUGAACGCUGGCGGCAUGCCUUACACAUGCAAGUCGAACGGCAGCGCGGGGCAACCUGGCGGCGAGUGGCGAACGGGUGAGUAAUAUAUCGGAACGUACCCUGGAGUGGGGGAUAACGUAGCGAAAGUUACGCUAAUACCGCAUACGAUCUAAGGAUGAAAGUGGGGGAUGCGCAAGCACCUCAUGCUCCUGGAGCGGCCGAUAUCUGAUUAGCUAGUUGGUGGGUAAAGCCUACCAAGGCAUCGAUCAGUAGCUGGUCUGAGAGGACGACCAGCCACACUGGAACUGAGACACGGUCCAGACUCCGUACGGGAGGCAGCAGUGGGGAAUUUUGGACAAUGGGACGAAAGCCUGAUCCAGCAAUGCCGCGUGAGUAGAAGAAGGCCGUUACGGUUAGUAAGCUCGUUUUAGUCGAAGGGAAGAACGGU